CGGCAUGCCUCAUACAUGCAAGUCGAACGAGGUCUUCGGACCUAGUGGCGCACGGGUGAGUAACAUGUGGGAAUCUACCUGAAGGUUCGGAAUAACUGCGGGAAACUGUAGCUAAUACCGGAUGUGUCUGCAAAGAGAAAGAUUUAUCGCCUUCAGAUGAGCCCGCACUAGAUUAGCUAGUUGGUGAGGUAAUUGCUCCACCAAGGCUACGAUCUAUAGCUGAUUUGAGAGGAUGAUCAGCCACACUGGGACUGAGACACGGCCCAGACUCCUACGGGAGGCAGCAGUAGGGAAUAUUGGACAAUGGGGGAAACCCUGAUCCAGCAAUGCCGCGUGAGUGAAGAAGGCCUUCGGGUUGUAAAGCUCUUUCAUCAAUGAUGAUAAUGACAUUAGUUGAAGAAGAAGCCCCGGCUA
This 414-nucleotide ribosomal RNA is filed under the name uncultured bacterium. RNAcentral's name for it is "bacterial SSU rRNA". It matches the Rfam family "Bacterial small subunit ribosomal RNA", at positions 40 to 499 of the family's 1533-position model. The record is from RNAcentral.